AGCGAACGCUGGCGGCAGGCCUAACACAUGCAAGUCGAACGAACUCUUCGGGGUUAGUGGCGGACGGGUGAGUAACACGUGGGAACGUGCCAUUAGGUUCGGAAUAACUCAGGGAAACUUGUGCUAAUACCGAAUGUGCCCUUCGGGGGAAAGAUUUAUCGCCUUUAGAGCGGCCCGCGUCUGAUUAGCUAGUUGGUGAGGUAAAGGCUCACCAAGGCGACGAUCAGUAGCUGGUCUGAGAGGAUGAUCAGCCACAUUGGGACUGAGACACGGCCCAAACUCCUACGGGAGGCAGCAGUGGGGAAUCUUGCGCAAUGGGCGAAAGCCUGACGCAGCCAUGCCGCGUGAAUGAUGAAGGUCUUAGGAUUGUAAAAUUCUUUCACCGGGGACGAUAAUGACGGUACCCGGAGAAGAAGCCCCGGCUAACUUCGUG
Molecule: ribosomal RNA, 433 nt
Filed under: uncultured bacterium
Lineage: Bacteria
Description: partial 16S ribosomal RNA
Rfam family: Bacterial small subunit ribosomal RNA
Source: RNAcentral